UGGGGAAUAUUGCACAAUGGGCGAAAGCCUGAUGCAGCGACGCCGCGUGAGGGAUGACGGCCUUCGGGUUGUAAACCUCUUUCAGCAGGGACGAAGCGCAAGUGACGGUACCUGCAGAAGAAGCACCGGCUAACUACGUGCCAGCAGCCGCGGUAAUACGUAGGGUGCAAGCGUUGUCCGGAAUUACUGGGCGUAAAGAGUUCGUAGGCGGUUUGUCGCGUCGUUUGUGAAAACCAGCAGCUCAACUGCUGGCUUGCAGGCGAUACGGGCAGCCUUGAGUACUGCAGGGGAGACUGGAAUUCCUGGUGUAGCGGUGAAAUGCGCAGAUAUCAGGAGGAACACCGGUGGCGAAGGCGGGUCUCUGGGCAGUAACUGACGCUGAGGAACGAAAGCGUGGGUAGCGAACAGG
Molecule: ribosomal RNA, 409 nt
Filed under: bacterium
Lineage: Bacteria
Description: partial 16S ribosomal RNA
Rfam family: Bacterial small subunit ribosomal RNA
Source: RNAcentral